This 3227-nucleotide long non-coding RNA is filed under the name Gallus gallus (chicken). The record is from RNAcentral. Lineage: Eukaryota; Metazoa; Chordata; Aves; Galliformes; Phasianidae.
AGCCUGCCAGAAGAAAAAGAUCUCUGCCCUAGCCAGACCCACGACAUUUCCCUAGCGCACUGCAGUAGCACAAAGUGAGGGUAGUCCUGUCGCUGGAGUGAGUAUCUGCGCUGCACCCGGUGGUACCGCAGCGUAACAUCGUGGCUUACGGGCCCUGAGUCUGCCGAGGUGCUUCCAAAGGAAGGGGCUCUACUGCUCCCCAAAGGCUGCGCCGCAGCAGUCUGUGGAUAAGAGGAUGCUCUGCCCAUGCGCAGCAUUUCCACCGACGCAGAGCGUAGCUACUCAGAAUGCUGUGUGGGCAAACGCAGCCGAGUUUUAACAGUAUCAUCUGGGCUGCACAGUUGCAUCUAAACCCCUGCGUUUCUACACCAGAGCCCUCCCGUAGCUGGAGGAAGCAAGCAGCCGUUCAGGACAGACCUGAGAAGACAAUGGCAUUUAACAAAUGUGACUCAGCCAAUCUGAGAGGAUACAAAGACACGUGGGUUACCAAGUGUCCCAAAAUGGCGUCUCCUCUCCGUGGAAGGCAGGCGGAUACAAGAUGGCGCCUCCCUAUGCAGGGAGGUGGGAGGGAUUUCCUGUGCAGGGCCCUGCCACCUCCGGUGGGGCUGAUUGACAUUGGGCCCUGCCCUUCACCUGAGGUUUCUUUCCCACCCCGGCAUGCAGUCGGCACAGCGCUGCCUGCUGCUGACCAGGAAGAGCUGCGGGCCGGAGAGGCAGGUGUGUGGAGCAGGAGCAGCAGCUUUACACGCCACAGCGUUCGGUGCCUGGCUGCCCGAGUGGUAAGAGAUGUUCUGUUGCACAUUGGGCGUAGUGAGGAGGGCUUGAAAGUGUAGAUUCACGGAAAGGGAGGGGGGCUCUCCGAGUGUUCUGGGGAGCCGUUCUGCCCCUUUCUGGAGGGCAAGCGGGACAGAUGCUGUUGUUAGCAGGGAAGAUGAGAGAGCCAUAGAGCUGCAGCUUGAGGCUGUGUUUGUGCGCUCCCGAGAAUGCUAUUGCCCAGGAGCCGCCUUUUCUCAGUGCAGCUACUCAAGGACAAGGCCCCGCGUCCUUUGGAAGGGGUGUGUGACAGGGUAAUCCUGUUCCCUCUGGCUUCAAGCCACGCAUGCUAUUGGAAAUGCAGGGUUGAAUCCUGCUGUAGCCCCUGCAGCCUGAAAGGUACCGAAGAACUGGGCUCGAGGGCCCAAAGGCUGGGAUUGGCAAGAGGCCUCUCCGUUUCAUACUGAUGCUUUCAGGAGCAUAGCCAUAUCUUUAACUUUGGCCUGCCGAGAACUGUCUGUGGGUUACUUGUGCCUGCUGGGGUGUAGCCCUCGAGGCCCGGCUAAACAGCACACAGUGGUUCGCUCUCCCUCCCCAGGCAAGGCUGGGGACAGUACCGGCAAGGUAGAAGUGGGAGGACUCACAGGAGAGGCUGAAGGCCGUUUCCGGGGCAAGGCCCAGGCCGCAAGAAGGAGCAAGGCAAAAUGCGGGAUUUCAUUUCCAGGUUCCCGUUGGCGGGCAGAUGGGAUAUUCAGGUGCUCCCAGAAAAGCGGGGACCGUCUCGUGUCACAGUUAGCUGGGAAGACAAUCAGCAUUGCUCCCAGUAUGCUCUCAUGCCUCCUUCUGUAGGUUGGCUGUAACUGCGGAGCACGACAUUAGGUGGUACGGAAUAUCCCCUUGGUUCAGUUUGGGCCAGGUGGCCCAGCUGGGAUCCCCGCCGCCCUCCCGCAACUUCUUGUGCCACUCCAGCCUCCUGGCUCGAAGGAGAGCAUAAGAAGCAGAAGCGUCCUUGGUUUCUGUGGAAGCAGCGCUCUGCUACAGCACUUAGGUGGCUGUGUGAUCCGUGCUGUUCAUGGCCCGAUUCCCAAACCUGCAGGACAGGUGCCUGCCAGAAGAAAAAGAUCUCUGCCCUAGCCAGACCCACGACAUUUCCCUAGCGCACUGCAGUAGCACAAAGUGAGGGUAGUCCUGUCGCUGGAGUGAGUAUCUGCGCUGCACCCGGUGGUACUGCAGCGUAACAUCGUGGCUUACGGGCCCUGAGUCUGCCGAGGUGCUUCCAAAGGAAGGGGCUCUGCUGCUCCCCAAAGGCUGCGCCGCAGCAGUCUGUGGAUAAGAGGAUGCUCUGCCCAUGCGCAGCAUUUCCACCGACGCAGAGCGUAGCUACUCAGAAUGCUGUGUGGGCAAACGCAGCCGAGUUUUAACAGUAUCAUCUGGGCUGCACAGUUGCAUCUAAACCCCUGCGUUUCUACACCAGAGCCCUCCCAUAGCUGGAGGAAGCAAGCAGCCGUUCAGGACAGACCUGAGAAGACAAUGGCAUUUAACAAAUGUGACUCAGCCAAUCUGAGAGGAUACAAAGACACGUGGGUUACCAAGUGUCCCAAAAUGGGGUCUCCUCUCCGUGGAAGGCAGGCAGAUACAAGAUGGCGCCUCCCUAUGCAGGGAGGUGGGAGGGAUUUCCUGUGCAGGGCCCUGCCACCUCCGGUGGGGCUGAUUGACAUUGGGCCCUGCCCUUCACCUGAGGUUUCUUUCCCACCCCGGCAUGCAGUCGGCACAGCGCUGCCUGCUGCUGACCAGGAAGAGCUGCGGGCCGGAGAGGCAGGUGUGUGGAGCAGGAGCAGCAGCUUUACACGCCACAGCGUUCGGUGCCUGGCUGCCCGAGUGGUAAGAGAUGUUCUGUUGCUCAUAGGGCGUAGUGAGGAGGGCUUGAAAGUGUAGAUUCACGGAAAGGGAGGGGGGCUCUCUGAGUGUUCUGGGGAGCCGUUCUGCCCCCUUUCUGGAGGGCAAGCGGGACAGAUGCUGUUGUUAGCAGGGAAGAUGAGAGAGCCAUAGAGCUGCAGCUUGAGGCUGUGUUUGUGCGCUGCCGGGAGUGCUAUUGCCCAGGAGCCGCCUUUUCUCAGUGCAGCUACUCAAGGACAAGGCCCCGCGUCCUUUGGAAGGGGUGUGUGACAGGGUAAUCCUGUCCCCUCUGGCUUCAAGCCACGCAUGCUAUUGGAAAUGCAGGGUUGAAUCCUGCUGUAGCCCCUGCAGCCUGAAAGGUACCGAAGAACUGGGCUCGAGGGCCCAAAGGCUGGGAUUGGCAAGUGGCCUUUCCGUUUCAUACUGAUGCUUUCAGGAGCAUAGCCAUAUCUUUAACUUUGGCCUGCCGAGAACUGUCUGUGGGUUACUUGUGCCUGCUGGGGUGUAGCCCUCGAGGCCCGGCUAAACAGUACACAGUGGUUCGCUCUCCCUCCCCAGGCAAGGCUGGGGACAGUACC